UUAGAUGCUCUCAUCUUUUCUUCUCCCUCAAGCCUAACCAUAUACUUCGUCAAACACCUCACCUUCCGGUCAUCUUCGGCAACCAUCCUUUUAACCCAAGCCUCUGAUGAGUCUCUCAUCGCCUUGCUCAUCAUCUCUAAGAUCUUCAACAGUUCUGGGCCAUGCCGAUUUGGACCUAGGAUUUCUAUUUUUGUUACUUAUGGCUUCUCCAGUGUGAUUUUGGGCAAAAUCACACCUUAUAUGUUACGAUUGGUGAAGUCUGCAACAGGUUCUUUCGAUUUCUAUUUGGGAUUCCCUUAGAAACCCUAGCUCUCUUCUGAUCUCUUAGAUCUAUGAUAUUUUUACACUUUAAGCAUGUUUCCUUCUAUGAUUUACUUAUUCUCGAGCUUCUUCUGAAAGAUCCUCCGCUUUGAAUUGUUUUUACUUUCUUUGAAAUCUAGGGUUUCUCGGAGAUCCUUCUACGCUUGGUUUAACCGAUUUCCUUAUCAUUAAACCUUUUUCCUUACUUAUUUUGACCAAUUUUACGCUCCUACCACUUUUUUACUCGACUCUAUUAAAGCCUUAAUUUUAAAGAUUUUCUUUGCUUUGGUACUAUAUGUUAGCAUGAUUUUCCUUGCUUUGGUUCUAUGAGUUAGCAUGAUUUUCUUUGCUUUGUGAGUUAGCAUGACUUCUUUGCUUUGGUUCUGUGUGUCAGCAUGAUUUUCUUUGCCUUGGUUCUAUAUGUUAGCCUGUUUAUUUGAAUCUUGUUGAUCUCUCGUGGUCACCGGGCUUUAAAUGUGUAUACUGAAUUCCUAGCCUACUUAUGUCACUUUUGUGUGACUGUGCUCACUUUUACUACUAAAAUAUCUGGUUUUAGCGACAGACAAAUUCUAUAGGUAUAUAUUAAAAUUCGUUGCUCUUCUCAUUUAGCGAUGAAUUAGUGACGGAUUAUCAAGAAAUUCUGCUAGCUACAAGCGAUUUAACGACAGAUUAGCGACGACUUUCGUAGCUAAUUCUAAUUUUUUUGUAGUGUUUGUUUGUUCAUCUCUUGCUUCUUGUUGUCAAUAUGGCUGACCUUGCUUAUUGCUAUGUCUGUUGAGCUCUUCUAUUUAUAUGUUGAACAUGCAGAAUCACGACUCUCUCUUGAUUGAUUCUGACUUCCUUAAUUGAUGGUGAUUGAAAUAUUUUCUUUCAAAGACUUACCAGCUUGACCCUGUCAAUUUAAGCUGACUGAUUUGCUUGCCAUAUUUUCUAUGAUACCUAUUUCUACUUAGUUGUGUCCUUAAUUAAGGCUUUAUGAAUUUGGUCCUAACUGGCUUCUCUAUGCUUACUGAACCUUGAAUCCUUCCUAAUUGAUUGAUUCUGAGUUCUUAAAUUAGUAGACUACUAUGUUUUUACCUUAUUUCAUUUCCUACUUUCAACUAUAAAUACCCUAAGUCUUUCAUAAACAAGACACAGAAAAUUGGGUUUUCAAAACUUCUCUCUUAUUAAAAAUCUAUGUUCCCCCUCUCUCUUGUGCUAUUUGCUGUUAUUACCCCGCUGCAAGCUAAGACUAAUCAUAUGUGCUCUUUAGUUCUUUCAUUCUACCUAUUUCUGUCUUCACUGGUAUGUCCUAGUUUAAUUUAAAGCCUCGACGACAACAUGCUUCUUUUCUUGUUUCAGUUUCUCUUAUUUCUAGUCUCUUCUACUUGUGGUUCUGUUGUGAAACUUGUAGUUAAGUCACAUUACGAGCAUGCUACUAUAUCUCCCUUCCCUUUAAAUCAAUGUAUUCCCUUAUGUAAUUCAAAGCAUGCCUGGACAAUUGUCUUUUACAUGUUUUGUACUUACCAUUUUUGUGAAAUCUUUAUCACCCCAUCUAUACAUUUGUAUUUUUCUUGACUAGUUGUGAUUAUGCCAGUGUCAACUAUCUAUGAGCAUGUCCAAUCCAGUCUUAAGACCCACUGCUGGGUUCAUGUGUUUCCAUUCAAAUGUUUAUGUAUCCCCAAACCCCUUGACCCUUAUAUGACUCUUGAAUUCUGAAAAUUAGCUGUGUAUGAUCUCUUGCUAAGGUGUUUAAACUUUUUUACUACUCCAUCCUCCUUCUAAGCUAUCUCUGUUGCUUUACUAAGUGCUUUCAAAACAGACUUUCCAAUAUAGUCUUCAAUAACUCUUUCAAAUAUGUGUCCUGCACUUUCACUUCACUCUUAGUGAAUAAGUUCUACCCCUUCUAGUAUGUGUACUGCCUUGGGAUCCUCUUGAGAGCACUCUGAUCUCUGGAAUAAUGAGGCUGGCCCUUUCACACUGCACUUGUUCAAUGCGUGGUACUAAGUCUAGGUGUAAACAUUGCUCGAGGUCCUUGAGACCCUUAGGGAACGCUGAUGCACCUAGACUCUAAUUUGUCUAUGGAAAUGAGGCUUGUAAGACCAUUGGAGGCUAUUGGAAACUUGGGCCUAACUGCAGGCUCCCUAUAUAAUAGCUUCUUGAUUUUCUAUUUCAUUUACAUAAUUCACUAGCAUGUAAUAAUUUGUAAAUAGAUAUUUGGGGAAUUUAGUGAAAAGG
Molecule: long non-coding RNA, 2517 nt
Filed under: Nicotiana benthamiana
Lineage: Eukaryota; Viridiplantae; Streptophyta; Magnoliopsida; Solanales; Solanaceae
Description: long non-coding RNA (NBEN_LNC033359)
Source: RNAcentral